UGGGGAAUUUUGGACAAUGGGCGAAAGCCUGAUCCAGCAAUGCCGCGUGUGUGAAGAAGGCCUUCGGGUUGUAAAGCACUUUUGUCCGGAAAGAAAUCCUUGGCUCUAAUACAGUCGGGGGAUGACGGUACCGGAAGAAUAAGCACCGGCUAACUACGUGCCAGCAGCCGCGGUAAUACGUAGGGUGCAAGCGUUAAUCGGAAUUACUGGGCGUAAAGCGUGCGCAGGCGGUUUGCUAAGACCGAUGUGAAAUCCCCGGGCUCAACCUGGGAACUGCAUUGGUGACUGGCAGGCUAGAGUAUGGCAGAGGGGGGUAGAAUUCCACGUGUAGCAGUGAAAUGCGUAGAGAUGUGGAGGAAUACCGAUGGCGAAGGCAGCCCCCUGGGCCAAUACUGACGCUCAUGCACGAAAGCGUGGGGAGCAAACAGGAUUAGAUACCCCUGGGUAGUCCACGCCCUAAACGAUGUCAACUAGUUGUUGGGGAUUCAUUUCCUUAGUAACGUAGCUAACGCGUGAAGUUGACCGCCUGGGGGAGUACGGUCGCAAGAUU
RNAcentral lists this ribosomal RNA (550 nucleotides) under uncultured bacterium. Its description in RNAcentral is "partial 16S ribosomal RNA". It matches the Rfam family "Bacterial small subunit ribosomal RNA", at positions 355 to 895 of the family's 1533-position model. The record is from RNAcentral.